GAGGUGAGAAGGGUUCAGGUGCUACCUCUACUCUUUGGUUGUUGAGGAGCGGGGGUACAAAGAUAGUCGUGCGUGACGGUGAUAGGGGUCAUCGUCGAUAAUUUGGUCGAGUGUGUGUAGGGUGGGUCUUUUUUGACUUUUCGUGUCGUCGAGGGGACGUGCCGCAUGACGAGGUAAGGAGGAGGAGGAGGAGGAAGUUACGGCGGGCGGCAAGUUUGGAGGGUAGAUUAUUGACGCGGCGUGGGCAUGAUCCAUGCUCAUCUGAAGUUCACGAGCAGGUGGUGGUACGGUGAGGUGAGGGUGCAGGCGGCGGAGCACGAGAACGACGAUCAAGAAAGGUGAUGCAAAGGGCUGGGACAGAGGAGAAGAACGCGGCCGCCGCAGGCCCUGCUGCGCCGCUAGCAGCGCCGGCGCAAGGCGAUGCACGCGUUGAAGGCCGGCGUCCCGCACGGCCGUACGUCCGGGCAGGCCCUCGACGCGGAGGGCAGCGCCUUGGAGUGCCCGCGGCACCGCACCCGCCGCGAGCGCUUGGACAGGCGGGAGCGGCGCGAGCUGGAGAGGCCCUUGCGCGAGGUCCCGCGGUAGGGGCCGCCGAAGACCGCGCGCGGCCGCGAGGCGCGGCAGCUACACAGCCCCUUGGUCGAGCCGCCGAGCGACGCCCACCUCGGCUUGGGCGCCGACGUCAGGGAGUUGCACAGGCCGUUGGCGAAGUGGCAGCAGCGCCCCCACCUGCCGGAGGGCCCCGAGCUGCGGGAGCUGCACAGCCGCUUGUCCUAGGCGCGCCACGGCGUCCCCGACUCCGCCGACUGCGCUAACGCGGCCGAGCUGGAGAGGGCCUUGCGCUACGCGCCCUCCAAGGGGCCGCUGGACGGGGGCGAGCUGCCCCAGGCAAAGAACUUGCAGAGCAUGUUGUUGGACAGGCCGCGCCACUUGCGGUCGCGGCACUUCUUCAAGCCCGGGAGCCGCAAGUAGGUGCGGCCGUUACGAAGUAAUCACAAGAGUUUUCUGAGGGGACGCGCCGGAGUAGGUGGCGGAGGCGGCGGUGCUCCUUGUUCACGUUUCUUCCGAGUAGGGCGCUCCUGCCGCUUCUCGUGCCGUUGCUUUUGCUUUUCUUUCUUCGUAGACCCGCACCAGCGGCACCGCUAACACACGCCCCACCGCAGCCACCAGCAGGACGAGACGAACCAGCCUAGGCACCGCACGCCCCACCACUCCACGUCCUUCUCCUUCUUGCCUCUGUUCCUCCGCCUCCUCUUCUUCCACGUCACCCCACUCUUCCUUCUUCUGCUCCACCAACACCGCCGCCGCUGUAGUUUCCCCCGUAGCCGGCGCGGCCACCACGAGAAGCUCGCCGGCGAGUACCUCGACUGCGAGCGGCUGGAGCGGCGCCGGUGAAGGCCAAAGCCGGCGCUUAGGGUCGAGCGCCUCGCGCCACCGGCGUCGCCGCGGCGCAUGGCGCGGCAAGACGGGCCCCUGGACGUGCAGCAGCACGCGCAGCACCUCCCGCGGUACCGGCCCCAGCCCCUCCUGCUGUUGGGCCGGCGGCGCCGGCGCCGCAAGGCACUUGAGCGCGCCGAGGCCGUGGGGUUGUAGGAAGGCGAGGAACCUAUGACGUAACGUCCCUCCCUCUUCGACGACGAUAUGCUCAUGUACCUCUUUCCGCUGGAGGUGGCCACCGAGGUGCUCGACGGCCGCCCCGCCGGCCUGUACCUGCUGCGGCCGCCCCUGUAGACCCUCCGCCGCCUCCUGUUCGCCAGCUAUAGGCUGACCGGCUGCGCCGUGGCGUAGCGCGAUCCGCAGCGGGCCCCGGACCGCAAGGACGUGGUUCCCACCCGGCCCAGUACGGCCCGCUGCCACGUGCCGGUGGAGCAGGGCUGGUUGCAGGAGGAGUCGCUGCUGGACCUCGGGGCCUAUAGGCUGAAGCCCGUGGAGCCGCCGCCGCCGCCGCUCCUGCUGCUGCGCUGCGGCCUCCGCCUGCACAUGCCCAAGCCGCGCGACCACGACCUCGACUACUGCCCCGUCCGCUCCACCCUGCUCCGCAGCCACUCGACCCGCGCGCCCGAGUAGGCGCUGCCGUUCCCCGACCUGUACCACCUGGGCGCCCACGUGCCGCCGCUCCGCCGCCUCGCCCUCUACCACCUCACGGACGCCCACCCCAUGGACACGUGCCGCGUGAGCGGCCUGUUCGCCGGCUGCUACGUCGUCCACCACCCGCACGAGUUCCUGUAGGCCGGAGCACGCGAGCUGCCGCCACCGCUGCGCACUAGUACGGUACGUACGUGACGGUCACGCGACGCACACUUGACGCGCGCACGCACGCACCGAACUUGACGGUCGGUGGUCGUGUACGGGAGCGAGCUCACGUGGUAUGUGCAGUGCCGAAAAGGAAAAAAGAUGACAUUAUUAGCCAUCCGGAGCAUGCUACACGUCAUCGUCACUGUUAAGGCAGCGUCCCUUGUAAACUAAAGUCUGGUAAAGAGAGCACAACGACGCGGGCAUGUGGUAUUUACACAAGGGCGGUAAAUUAACGUUUUCGAAUGUGGUCUCGAGGUAGCUGUUCU
RNAcentral lists this ribosomal RNA (2561 nucleotides) under Triticum aestivum (bread wheat). Its description in RNAcentral is "partial small subunit ribosomal RNA". The record is from RNAcentral. Lineage: Eukaryota; Viridiplantae; Streptophyta; Magnoliopsida; Poales; Poaceae.